Molecule: non-coding RNA, 120 nt
Filed under: Sphingomonas sp.
Lineage: Bacteria; Pseudomonadati; Pseudomonadota; Alphaproteobacteria; Sphingomonadales; Sphingomonadaceae
Description: Glycine sequence
Rfam family: Glycine riboswitch aptamer
About the family: This family represents the bacterial glycine riboswitch. Glycine riboswitches usually consist of two metabolite-binding aptamers domains with similar structures in tandem.
Source: RNAcentral
CGACACUCUGGAAAGCGGAUGGCCGCGUCGGGAAACUGGCGGGGUCGUCCCACCGAAGGGGUAAGCCGGACCGGCUCAGGUGCGGCGAAAGCUCUCAGGUUCCGUGACAGAGGGGGCAAU